GUGUAAAGUUUUUUUAGAGCGUCAACUAAUUAGAUUGUAAGGAUAUGUCACGUCAAUUAAUGAAAUUAAAUAAAUAUUUUACACAUUCUUAAAAUCUGAUUGGUUGACGGUGUAAAUAAACUUUACAC
Molecule: microRNA precursor, 128 nt
Filed under: Lotus japonicus
Lineage: Eukaryota; Viridiplantae; Streptophyta; Magnoliopsida; Fabales; Fabaceae
Description: miR11078b stem-loop (lja-MIR11078b)
Source: miRBase by way of RNAcentral